Trichomycterus rosablanca is the source of this 2049-nucleotide RNA transcript. It is a transcript of the gene named serine/threonine-protein kinase pim-1-like, with no coding region annotated. Lineage: Eukaryota; Metazoa; Chordata; Actinopteri; Siluriformes; Trichomycteridae. The transcript is spliced from 13 exons. The record is from RefSeq and is a predicted model, not a curated record.
AUGUACACCAUCACCUGCAGCGCUGCAGCACUGAGACCUUCUGCCUUUGUGACAUCAUUGUGAUGACACUGAGUGUUCUAUGAGAGCUCAGUUUAGUUGAACCUUCAGUGUUUGUACAUCAUUUCUCACGAUGGCUGCUGAACAGGAGAGACAUGCUACCGACCGUCCUUCUCUAAUGCGACGCUUUUUGACCAGUCUACGUCUGUGCUGGCCGUUCGGUCGAGUUCGUCCUCAGAUGUCUUUUCAGGACGUCUGUGGUGGCGAGAUCGAACCGGAGGGCAGCGUGGAUGCAGAGAACCAGAUAGUUAUGGAGGGAUACUUGUUGAAGAGGGCCAGUAAUGUAUUUAAAACAUGGAACAGGCGCUGGUUCCUGAUUCAGGACAACCACCUUAUGUACAAGAAGAAAUCCAGGAAUAGCAUGGUGGUCAUAGCCGAUUUACGCCAGUGCACGGCCAAACACUACAGGAGCAUCGGACGCCGUUGCUGCUUCCAGGUGGUUUCACCUACAAAGAUCUGGGUAUUGCAGGCUGAUUCAGAGGAAAAUAGAGAGGCUUGGAUCAGAACCAUUCAGAACAUGGUUGCUAACACCGAUGGUGACAGAACAGACGACUCCAUCACUUCCCGAUCAGAUGAGGUGGUGGAUUUGAGCCCAAAACAGGAAGGAUCCAGUAGCUCCUCUAAAUCACGUGGAUCACAACACACACAGAGAGACUCGCUACGUCCACGAUCCGCUUCUGGAACUUCAGUUGAGAGUGUUGAAGCUACAGUUGGAGGGACCUCACACAUUGAAGAGAGCCCGGAGGAACUGAGCACCAGCACUUCCUCCAGCGACUCCAUCCACACAGCUGGUGAUGAGAGUACGACUACAGGAAAGCACUCGGUCCAGAGAGGCAGAGCUCCAUCUGAAGAGUGCUUCAAUAGUCGGUACAGAGUGGGAAAGCUUCUGGGGAAAGGAGGCUGCGGUUCUGUGUUUGCAGGACUUCGUGAGGCCGAUGGAAAACAGGUUGCUAUUAAGGUUGUGCUGAAGAGUGGCUGUGACAGAUUCAUCACCAUUCUUGGCGAGAAGAACGCUCUCCCUGUAGAGGUGGCGUUGAUGGUGAUGGUGUCCGAGCCACCUCGCUGUAAGUACGUCCUGGAGCUCCUGGAAUGGUUCGACAUGCCCGAGUGCUACGUCUUGAUCCUGGAGCGACCCGCCCGCUGCAUGGACCUCUACGAAUACCGAAGGAACGGCUCACUUCCCGAAUGUCUGACUCAGAUGAUCAUGUGGCAGGUGGUUCUCGCCGCCUGUCACUGCCGUAAUCGCGGGGUUCUCCAUCGGGAUAUCAAGGAGCAGAACCUUCUGGUCAGUUUCCACACCUUAGAGGUCAAGCUCAUAGACUUUGGCUGUGGGGACUUGCUGAAGUCGACCCCCUACAGACGUUUUGCAGGCACCAUGCUAUACGCCCCACCUGAAUGGAUCGAGGAAGGUAAGUAUCACGGUUGCGCUGCAACGGUGUGGAGCCUGGGUGUCCUUUUGUUUGUUCUAGUGUGUGGAGAGCUGCCAUUCUGGAAUGAGAGGGAGAUCGCUGCUGGACACCUGAUCUUCAAAGCUGGUGUGUCUAAGGCCUGCCGUCAUCUGAUCAGACGCUGCCUGGCGAAGGAUCCAAAUAAGAGACCCAGCCUCGAGAUGAUCCUGGAGCACCACUGGUUUCCAGAGAUCCUUAGAAACUAAGUCCAGCACAGGUCUGCUACAAGAACACAUCCAGAGGUUUCUGGCUGAGGUUCAGAUCACCUCUAUUCCUCAGCACUGUGUACAUACCACGCUGGAUCAGAAAGAAAGCCCCAUCAAUGAACAAGUCUAACCUACAACCAACCAGAAGCAACCAGAUCAGAUUUGGGCCCAAGCACCCUGAUACCCAGCAGAAGAUGAAACGUCCUUGAGUGACCACAACCAUCUACGGUUGGUGUCUGGGAAUGGAUCCUGCAGACGUUUAACACAUGUGUAUUGUGCCUUGAUUGCAGUUGAUGGUCAUUUAACGGUCAGUAUAUUGAAUAAAACUGUUUGAUAAA